GAGUUUGAUCAUGGCUCAGAACGAACGCUGGCGGCAGGCUUAACACAUGCAAGUCGAACGAUGUCUUCGGACAUAGUGGCAGACGGGUGAGUAACGCGUGGGAAUCUACCCAGUCCUUCGGGAUAACAGUUGGAAACGACUGCUAAUACCGGAUACGCCCUUUUGGGGAAAGAUUUAUCGGGAUUGGAUGAGCCCGCGUAAGAUUAGCUAGAUGGUGGGGUAACGGCCUACCAUGGCGACGAUCUUUAGCUGGUCUGAGAGGAUGAUCAGCCACACUGGGACUGAGACACGGCCCAGACUCCUACGGGAGGCAGCAGUGGGGAAUAUUGGACAAUGGGGGCAACCCUGAUCCAGCCAUGCCGCGUGAGUGAUGAAGGCCUUAGGGUUGUAAAGCUCUUUCACCGGUGAAGAUAAUGACGGUAACCGGAGAAGAAGCCCCGGCUAACUUCGUGCCAGCAGCCGCCGCCGUAAC
RNAcentral lists this ribosomal RNA (472 nucleotides) under uncultured Alphaproteobacteria bacterium. RNAcentral's name for it is "bacterial SSU rRNA". It matches the Rfam family "Bacterial small subunit ribosomal RNA", at positions 9 to 524 of the family's 1533-position model. Lineage: Bacteria; Pseudomonadati; Pseudomonadota; Alphaproteobacteria. The record is from RNAcentral.